GAAUAAAGUACAUUUAGGGACAAAUCAAAUUAUUUUUGUGCAGGUAAUACUUUGUUAUACCAUUAAAUAGGUCAGUGGUCUGUGACAAUAUGCCUUUAAACUUCAACGUAAAAGUUGAUGCAAAGUAAUUGCUAUAUCUCUAUAUCUCGUCUGUUUUGCUUUGUAAAACCAAGAUAAAAAGGUAUGAAUUAUAAAGCAUUAUAUUAAUAAAUACAAUCAAGUUGCAGUUUCACUUAUUCCAAUUUUUGGGCAAUUAUUAUAUAAAGAAAUUCAUUUUCUAAGCAAGAAAAUGUAAGUACUGUGGUCUCAGGACAGAUGAAAUGCACCAGAAUAUACACACAGUAUUGGAUGAGACAGAUUUUACCUCAGCUAUAUUGUCAUGGAACGUGAUUUUGAGAUCAUGCCAGGGUGGAAUCUAGCUCAAUGGGUAGCAUGCUCACCUGCUUGUGGAUAAAGUAGUACAGUACAGGCUGUCUAAACUUGAGUCAUUGGGGGGGGGGGGAGGGGGGCUACUCACAAACUGAACCAA
Molecule: long non-coding RNA, 529 nt
Organism: Gigantopelta aegis
Lineage: Eukaryota; Metazoa; Mollusca; Gastropoda; Neomphalida; Peltospiridae
Exons: 2
Source: RefSeq, a predicted model, not a curated record